UAGACUAUACUUUCAGGGAUCAUGUCUAUAUAGUUUAUUACUAGAGAAGUAUCUCUGAAUGUGUUGAGUACCCAAAACCAUGAGGAAGAGAAGCUAGCUGCUCAUUUCCCCUUGAUGAGAGUUCUUUUCCUCUUUGGGGGAUUAAGGGACAAGAGAGACACACUGUCUGAGGGGC
This 175-nucleotide small nucleolar RNA is filed under the name Canis lupus familiaris (dog). RNAcentral's name for it is "Small nucleolar RNA U3 (ENSCAFG00000047528.2, ENSCAFG00040000725.1, ENSCAFG00805017139.1, ENSCAFG00845022849.1)". It matches the Rfam family "Small nucleolar RNA U3". From Rfam's summary of the family: Small nucleolar RNAs (snoRNAs) are involved in the processing and modification of rRNA in the nucleolus. RNAcentral also lists the same sequence under 1 other name. Lineage: Eukaryota; Metazoa; Chordata; Mammalia; Carnivora; Canidae. The record is from Rfam by way of RNAcentral.